Molecule: unclassified non-coding RNA, 392 nt
Filed under: Proteus mirabilis
Lineage: Bacteria; Pseudomonadati; Pseudomonadota; Gammaproteobacteria; Enterobacterales; Morganellaceae
Description: partial 16S-23S ribosomal RNA intergenic spacer
Rfam family: tRNA (bases 85-157)
Source: RNAcentral
CCUAAGAGAUACGUGUUAUGUGAAGUGUUCACACAGAUUGUCUGAUGAAGAACGAGCAAAAGCGCGUCUGCGAAGCUGACAGAAGUCCCCUUCGUCUAGAGGCCUAGGACACCGCCCUUUCACGGCGGUAACAGGGGUUCGAAUCCCCUAGGGGACGCCAAUGCGCGGUAUGAGUGAAAGGCGUACCACUUAUCUGACGAGAGUCAGAGAAUAACUAAGCUAAUUCAAACGAGUUAUCUUACUUAUUAUGCUCUUUAACAAUCUGGAACAAGCUGAAAAAUUGAAAACAAAUCAAUAUAUCACCGAGGUAUAUUGGUGAGUCUCUCAAAAUCUCAAACCUUAAAGUUUGUCACGCAAAGUUUAUCUUUGAAAAAGACACUUUCGGGUGGUGA